Molecule: ribosomal RNA, 503 nt
Filed under: uncultured bacterium
Lineage: Bacteria
Description: bacterial SSU rRNA
Rfam family: Bacterial small subunit ribosomal RNA
Source: RNAcentral
AUCAUGGCUCAGAACGAACGCUGCGGCAGGCCUAACACAUGUAAGUCGAGCGAGACCUUCGGGUCUAUCGGCGGACGGGUGAGUAACGCGUGGGAACGUACCCUUUACUGCGGAUAGCCACUGGAAACGGUGAGUACACUGCAUACGCCCUUCGGGGGAAAGAUUUAUCGGAGAAGGAUCGGCUCGCGUUAGAUUAGAUAGUUGGUGGGGUAAUGCCUACCAAGUCUACGAUCUAUAGCUGGUUUGAGAGGAUGAUCAGCAACACUGGGACAGACACGGCCCAGCUCCUACGGGAGGCAGCAGUGGGGAAUCUUAGACAAUGGGCGCAAGCCAGAUCUAGCCAUGCCGCGUGAGUGAUGAAGGCAUUACGGUCGUAAAGCUCUUUCGCCUGUGAAGAUAAUGACUGUACAGGUAAAGAAACCCGGGCUAACUCCGUGCCAGCAGCCGCGGUAAUACGGACGGGUUAGCGUUGUCCGGAAUUACUGGCGUAAGCGCGCGUAGGC